RNAcentral lists this long non-coding RNA (659 nucleotides) under Homo sapiens (human). RNAcentral's name for it is "non-protein coding lnc-C10orf67-2:4". The record is from RNAcentral. Lineage: Eukaryota; Metazoa; Chordata; Mammalia; Primates; Hominidae.
CUCUCCUUUUCCCCUUGCCUUUCCUCCCCCUUCCUCUCCCCCUUCCUCUCUCCCUUCCCUUCCAUGAGACCCUCCCCAACCCAUCUCUGCAUCUCCCAGCUCCUCCCACUCCUGCUCCUCCCUCGCCCUGCCCCCCUCCACCUAUCCCAACUCCACUCAUCCGCAGCCCAAACACUGAUCUGUUUUAGUUUGCAUUUUCUAGAGUCGUCCAUAAAUGGAAUCAUCCCAUAUGUACUUGAUUUUGUCUGGCUUCUUUCACUCAACAUAGUUACUUUGACAUGCCUGCGUGUUUUUGCAUGGAACAAUCAUUCAUUGCUUCCUGAGCAGUAUUCCAUUUAUGGAUAUACCACCGUGUGUUUAGUCAGCACUUGAUUUAGCCUGCUUUCAAUUUUUCCUGAUUAGAACUACAGCUGCUAGGAACAUCCCUGUGCAAAUCUUUGUACAGACAUAUACGGUUUUUCCUCUCUGGGGUAAAUACCUGGAAGUGGAAUGCCCAGGUCGUAAGUCAUGAUGGCUGGAGCACUGGCAAUCUUCUGGUAUACAUGAAGAUGAGACCCACAUCUUGAUUUUAAAGAAGUAGAAGACAUGAAGGAGCCCAGGAUUCUGAAGACAGUGUGGAGUCAAUAUGCUAGUCUUGGAUUGCCUGCCUUCAGAUUUCC